This is a long non-coding RNA of Papaver somniferum (opium poppy), 3262 nucleotides long. RefSeq lists it as uncharacterized. The transcript has 2 exons. NCBI's taxonomy places the organism in Eukaryota, Viridiplantae, Streptophyta, Magnoliopsida, Ranunculales, Papaveraceae. The record is from RefSeq and is a predicted model, not a curated record.
UACAACUUUGCUUGAACACGAAAACAACUAAACUGAGAAAAGAUUAGUCGAGUAAGAUGUCAGGUUCACCGGCCUAAUCGCAUACCAAUUAGGAUUAAAGCUUGCUGCUGAAAAAGAAGUAAAGUUGAAGCCGUGAUACAUUCCCAGGAUUUGAGUACAUAAGUAUGCCGCUUGCGAUGAAAGAUAUGUCACCUUGGUGAAGACUUAUAGAAGAACCAAGUUUAUUAUAGAGGAUCAAAGUGAGAGUCACCAAAUAUGGCUCGCCAAUAUAUCUGUUUUUCUUCUUCUCUUUCUUCUGUUCUUCAUGUCUUUCUCCCUGUUGAACUCAAAUCCAAUGCAUAGCUUUUUUUUGGUGAGAGAUUCAUGUAAAUCUUGAGAUCCAGAUAAAUCGAAGAAGAGGGUGAUCAAUCUGGAAGCUAAUUGAGCUCCGAAAGAAGAAGAAAUCACAAGAAAUGGAAAUUAGGGUUUCUGCUAUAAUUGAAUAGGUUGUAUAAUUGGAAGAGGGGUUCGAUUUAGAAAAAGCAGAUGGAGAUUAGAGAUGGGUAUUGUGUAUUGGGAGUAAGGGAGGAGAUUUAGCUCCUGAUUCUCUACUCACAUGGAAGAAUCAGUGAAUUAGGGUUUUAUGACAACCAGUUACGGUGAAGGAAUUGAGUUUGAGUCCAAGAGAAAAGUUACUAAUAAUGAUGAUGAGUCGGUGGUGGUGUUGAUUGAAGACCGGCAAAACAGUAAAGAGAUAAGAGUCGGUGGUAUUGUUUUGAGAUGAAGGAAUCAAGAAGAGAAAUUGGAUUGUUGAUGAAAUUAAUGUCAAUUUUUAUUUUUUCUGUUUGCAAUGCAAGUAGGGGUUUUCAUCACUAAUACUUGGAUCAGGAAAGGACAUUAUGGUAGAUUCUGAACCUUCUAAUGUAUGUGAACCAUCUAAGGAAGUAUUACAGGGGAUGGGUUCAGCUUAGGUUGAGUUGCAGACUUGCAGUUAACAGUGUUGAACUAAUUGAGUUGAAUUGCAAUGGCAACGUUUUUUAGUGAAAUCUUGCAACUGUAGAUCAAGUAUUUGUUUUUGCAGUGGGUAAUCAUAAAAGGACCACUAAGGCGCUCAAAUAUGAAUGGAAGUGGCACAUUGUUUUAGAUCCAGCUUUCUAGCAUUCUAGCAGCAUUGCUAACAAGGUGAUGAAUAUUUGGGCAGUAAGUUGCAUAAGUUCGAUGUUUACUUGAAUAAUGAUUACUGUUUACUGCUAGACAACUUGGACAUUUAGUCUUUGGACAAGAUAGGUGGAUGCUACGUACAUUUUGACACAGUAGGCCUUAAUUUGGUUAGACAAUACUUUCUCUGAUUUUGGUUUCGCCUCGAGAGUAGAAAAGCCAUGGUGGUUGAUAUUGAAAAAUAUAAGACAUGAGUUCUAUUUAGUUGGUUGUAUGACAUUUUUAGAAUACCAUACAGCUCAAGGACAUAAGAAAGCACAAGCCUAUAGAACAGGAGAGGAGAAGAGAGGCCGACAUUUAAAGACUACUCAAACACCUGAAAAAAUUACUUAGAUUUAAUAUUCAAAACAAAUUCUGUAAAUUGAGGUUAAUUUUGUGUUGUUUUUGAGUUCCUAAUUGAACUAGGAUUGGCAUUAAGGAGGUGCUUAACUUACUGUAGGCCUACGUAGUAACGUAGACAUACACAGACAUUGUGUUAUGAUAGUUAUGAAAAUAGUUUCUAAAAAUCAGCAGCAACAUGUUUUAUGCGAGUCUGGUGCAGGGUGACUUGAAAUUCGAGGUAAUGCGCAACUACACAUACAUGUAUGGCUACAUAUCUUACAGUAUGUAUUUGUAGCGUGGUAUAUAUUAAAUUGGAGAAAUCUAAUCUUGGUUACCAUACACUUGGUGGUUCAUAAUUCGUUGACAUUUCUGCAGUCUCGCCCAGGCUGCGCAGAUGCCAUUUUGUUAAUCAAGUGAAUUAAGAUGAUAGCCCUGCUCAAAGGCAUACCCAAUUUCCUUUCUUCUUCUGGAUAUACUUGAAAAAAGUUGUGACAACUGUGUAUAAUCAUAAAGUUGGUACAAAGUCACUCUAGCUUCAGUGAAGCAUACAGGAAUCACAUUUGCAUUUGAAGCCUUACAAUUGGUGCGUGAUAUAUAUAGUUGAUUGGCUUUCUUGGUUUGAAGUGUGAUCCUUAUCUCAGAUAUCUUUUGAGUUUGUAUUAGAACGAUGCCUUUUCAGUUCAUGUGGUUAUUAUCCUAUCUCUCUUCUCUUUAGAUUUUACAUUUUGCACAGAGAUGGUUGUGAACUGUCAACUGGAGACUUACAAAUGACAGGCAUGUCCCUGCAAUGGUACAAUGAACUAAUGGAUAAGCUCUCCCUCCAUGUAGUUAGUUUCUUGAGUAAUCAAUCUUUCAUGGUUAUCUGCAACGUUUCCUGCUAAGCCAAUACACAACGCUAUAAUUCAUUUAGCUCUUCCACUCUACAUAAGGCAACUGUUCAAUUCCUCCAUUGUUAUUCCUGAAAGCAUGAUUAUCAAGGAAAAAAAAUAUAUGGUGCCAUUUUAUUACCUUAAUUUGAAUUACUGAAACUUUUUUUUUUGGUUUGUCACUUAUAAAAUAUAUUUGAUUUAUUCCUUCACAGUUCCGAUGACCCCAAGAGCCUAUAAUACUCAUCUAGAGUUGUUUCCCAUCAUUGAAUGUGUGGAAGAACUGACAACAAAAAUCUAAAGGAGAUUACUCAUAAGGAGGGGAUGGCGCAGAUGACAAAGAUUUUGUCUCUUCAAGGCAGGGGCAUUGAAGAUAUAAGAAAGAAGCAGAAGGCAGAUGUUGGUAUGGAUGAAGGAGACCUUAGUCAAUCUUCUCAAUCAAGUGCGGGUGCUGAAAGCAUGAUUAGUGAGGUUGAAAUCCAAGGAACAAAAACUAACGAGAAAUAAGUUGCCGCCGCGCGGUGCGUUAAUUAGAAAUGAUAAAAGAAGGUGCUCUUGAAGAUGUUGAAGACAUCUCUAGAACCAUCUGCUAAUCGAGAUCGUGGGAUUUCUCAAAAGGUUGGGAUUCAAGGUGUGCUCUUGGAAAACAACCACUUCAAUCUAGAUAAACUUCAGGUGCAAAUAUUUCGUUCGAUUGUUUGUUUAGAAAUAUUUCAUAAUGGCUCCGCAAGGAAAGUUGAGUGGUCUAUAAAAAUGUCCAUUCAGAAAGAUGAGUGAUCUAUAAAUAUUCAAACACAGUUUGGUUAAUUAACUCGCCCCGUUAUUUAUACAAGUAGUGAGCACGUGCGAUGCACGUCGGCAACAUUACCUUUUCUUAA